This 623-nucleotide ribosomal RNA is filed under the name Streptomyces sp. ANA306. RNAcentral's name for it is "bacterial SSU rRNA". It matches the Rfam family "Bacterial small subunit ribosomal RNA", at positions 61 to 701 of the family's 1533-position model. Lineage: Bacteria; Bacillati; Actinomycetota; Actinomycetes; Kitasatosporales; Streptomycetaceae. The record is from RNAcentral.
GUCGAACGAUGAACCACUUCGGUGGGGAUUAGUGGCGAACGGGUGAGUAACACGUGGGCAAUCUGCCCUUCACUCUGGGACAAGCCCUGGAAACGGGGUCUAAUACCGGAUACCACUUCCACUCGCAUGGGUGGGGGUUGAAAGCUCCGGCGGUGAAGGAUGAGCCCGCGGCCUAUCAGCUUGUUGGUGAGGUAACGGCUCACCAAGGCGACGACGGGUAGCCGGCCUGAGAGGGCGACCGGCCACACUGGGACUGAGACACGGCCCAGACUCCUACGGGAGGCAGCAGUGGGGAAUAUUGCACAAUGGGCGAAAGCCUGAUGCAGCGACGCCGCGUGAGGGAUGACGGCCUUCGGGUUGUAAACCUCUUUCAGCAGGGAAGAAGCGAAAGUGACGGUACCUGCAGAAGAAGCGCCGGCUAACUACGUGCCAGCAGCCGCGGUAAUACGUAGGGCGCAAGCGUUGUCCGGAAUUAUUGGGCGUAAAGAGCUCGUAGGCGGUCUGUCGCGUCGGAUGUGAAAGCCCGGGGCUUAACCCCGGGUCUGCAUUCGAUACGGGCAGACUAGAGUGUGGUAGGGGAGAUCGGAAUUCCUGGUGUAGCGGUGAAAUGCGCAGAUAUCAGG